AUGGUCAAAGGGAGGGCUUGGCAAGAGAGAUUGAGGGAGCUCUACUACCUCGAUCUUGGCAUAGAACCUGAUGGCAUCAUGCCCAGGAAACUUCCUUCUUCAGUAUGUAUGGGGAUUUAUAUGACACCAAAAGAGAAGUCCGGCGUGUUUCUUGGUUCUAUGGAACCCCUCGACCGGAAGCAAAUAGAUCACAUCGCAAGUUGCUUGCCCAAUAUAAUCGUGCCGCAAGUUACCAACAUCGCGUGCUUAUACACCAUCGACUUUGCUGGAAAUCUAUCUGUCCGUGCUCCACCGUCUGUCGGAACUUCUUCUGCCCAUGCUACACCUGAGGUACAUACUACAGUCUCAUCAAUUAAUAAUACCCAAUUGCUUGUCUGUUGCCCAAUGCACUGCAGCUUAAUAUGCAAACCCUGA
RNAcentral lists this ribosomal RNA (414 nucleotides) under Triticum aestivum (bread wheat). RNAcentral's name for it is "partial small subunit ribosomal RNA". Lineage: Eukaryota; Viridiplantae; Streptophyta; Magnoliopsida; Poales; Poaceae. The record is from RNAcentral.